Molecule: ribosomal RNA, 492 nt
Filed under: uncultured bacterium
Lineage: Bacteria
Description: partial 16S ribosomal RNA
Rfam family: Bacterial small subunit ribosomal RNA
Source: RNAcentral
AAUGAACGCUGGCGGUAUGCCUAACACAUGCAAGUCGAACGGCAUCACAGUAAGAGCUUGCUCUUACUGGUGGCGAGUUGAGUACGUGUCAGGCAUACAUCGGACUCUACUUUUUCGUGUGUGAUAACGUAGGGAAACUUACGCUAAUACCUCAUACGACCUACGGAUGAAAGCAGGGGAUCUUCGGACCUUGCGCGAUUUUAUUAGCCGAUGUCGGAUUCGCUAUUUGGCGGGGUAAAGGCCCACCAAGUCGACGAUCCGUAGCUGGUCUGAUAGGAUGAUCAGCCACACUGGAAGUGAGACACGGUCCAGACUCCUACGGGAGGCAGCAGUGGGGAAUAUUGGACAAUGGGCGCAAGCCUGAUACAGCCAUACCGCGUGGGUGAAGAAGGCCUUCGGGUUGGAAAGCCCUUUUGUUGGGAAAGAAAAGCAGCAGGUUAAUACCCCGCGGUUCUGACGGUACCCAAAGAAGAAGCACCGGCUAACUUCGUG